Molecule: ribosomal RNA, 497 nt
Filed under: uncultured bacterium
Lineage: Bacteria
Description: partial 16S ribosomal RNA
Rfam family: Bacterial small subunit ribosomal RNA
Source: RNAcentral
GAUGAACGCUGGCGGCGUGCCUAAUACAUGCAAGUCGAGCGAACAGACGAGGAGCUUGCUCCUCUGACGUUAGCGGCGGACGGGUGAGUAACACGUGGAUAACCUACCUAUAAGACUGGGAUAACUUCGGGAAACCGGAGCUAAUACCGGAUAAUAUAUUGAACCGCAUGGUUCAAUAGUGAAAGACGGUUUUGCUGUCACUUAUAGAUGGAUCCGCGCCGCAUUAGCUAGUUGGUAAGGUAACGGCUUACCAAGGCAACGAUGCGUAGCCGACCUGAGAGGGUGAUCGGCCACACUGGAACUGAGACACGGUCCAGACUCCUACGGGAGGCAGCAGUAGGGAAUCUUCCGCAAUGGGCGAAAGCCUGACGGAGCAACGCCGCGUGAGCGAUGAAGGUCUUCGGAUCGUAAAACUCUGUUAUUAGGGAAGAACAAAUGUGUAAGUAACUGUGCACAUCUUGACGGUACCUAAUCAGAAAGCCACGGCUAACUACGUG